RNAcentral lists this ribosomal RNA (200 nucleotides) under uncultured bacterium. RNAcentral describes it as "partial 16S ribosomal RNA". It matches the Rfam family "Bacterial small subunit ribosomal RNA", at positions 30 to 232 of the family's 1533-position model. The record is from RNAcentral.
AUUGAACGCUGGCGGCAGGCCUAACACAUGCAAGUCGAGCGCGAAAGCUCUUCGGAAUGAGUAAAGCGGCGGACGGGUGAGUAAUACAUGGGAAUCUGCCUGGUAGUGGGGAACAACGUUUCGAAAGGAACGCUAAUACCGCAUACGCCCUACGGGGGAAAGGGGGGGAGUCUUCGGACCUCUCGCUAUCAGAUGAGCCC